Molecule: ribosomal RNA, 465 nt
Filed under: Vreelandella stevensii
Lineage: Bacteria; Pseudomonadati; Pseudomonadota; Gammaproteobacteria; Oceanospirillales; Halomonadaceae
Description: partial 16S ribosomal RNA
Rfam family: Bacterial small subunit ribosomal RNA
Source: RNAcentral
CCUACGGGCGGCUGCAGUGGGGAAUAUUGGACAAUGGGGGCAACCCUGAUCCAGCCAUGCCGCGUGUGUGAAGAAGGCCCUCGGGUUGUAAAGCACUUUCAGUGAGGAAGAACGCCUGGUGGUUAAUACCCAUCAGGAAAGACAUCACUCACAGAAGAAGCACCGGCUAACUCCGUGCCAGCAGCCGCGGUAAUACGGAGGGUGCGAGCGUUAAUCGGAAUUACUGGGCGUAAAGCGCGCGUAGGUGGCUUGAUAAGCCGGUUGUGAAAGCCCCGGGCUCAACCUGGGAACGGCAUCCGGAACUGUCAAGCUAGAGGGCAGGAGAGGAAGGUAGAAUUCCCGGUGUAGCGGUGAAAUGCGUAGAGAUCGGGAGGAAUACCAGUGGCGAAGGCGGCCUUCUGGACUGAAACUGACACUGAGGUGCGAAAGCGUGGGUAGCAAACAGGAUUAGCUACCCGAGUAGUC